CAAGUUAGUGGCGGACGGGUGAGUAACACGUGAGCAACCUGCCUUUGAGAGGGGGAUAGCUUCUGGAAACGGAUGGUAAUACCCCAUAACAUACAUUUAAGGCAUCUUAGAUGUAUCAAAUGAAAUUCGCUCAAAGAUGGGCUCGCGUCUGAUUAGAUAGUUGGUGAGGUAACGGCCCACCAAGUCGACGAUCAGUAGCCGGACUGAGAGGUUGAACGGCCACAUUGGGACUGAGACACGGCCCAGACUCC
This 251-nucleotide ribosomal RNA is filed under the name uncultured Ruminococcus sp. RNAcentral's name for it is "partial 16S ribosomal RNA". It matches the Rfam family "Bacterial small subunit ribosomal RNA", at positions 88 to 339 of the family's 1533-position model. The record is from RNAcentral. Lineage: Bacteria; Bacillati; Bacillota; Clostridia; Eubacteriales; Oscillospiraceae.